UAGCGUUGCUCGGAAUCACUGGGCGUAAAGCGCACGUAGGCGGACUCUUAAGUCAGGGGUGAAAUCCUGGAGCUCAACUCCAGAACUGCCUUUGAUACUGGGAGUCUUGAGUUCGGGAGAGGUUAGUGGAACUGCGAGUGUAGAGGUGAAAUUCGUAGAUAUUCGCAAGAACACCAGUGGCGAAGGCGGCUCACUGGCCCGAUACUGACGCUGAGGUGCGAAAGCGUGGGGAGCAAACAGG
This 241-nucleotide ribosomal RNA is filed under the name uncultured bacterium. RNAcentral describes it as "partial 16S ribosomal RNA". It matches the Rfam family "Bacterial small subunit ribosomal RNA", at positions 536 to 776 of the family's 1533-position model. The record is from RNAcentral.